CGUGAAGUCAGGCCGGUAGGACCUGAAAAUAAACUCGGAUAUACACACUUCAAGCUACAAUGAGCGCCGAAAGAAAAACUAAUUCGAAAUCAUGGAUGAUUUACACAUUACAAAUGCAAUUCCUAAUGGCAAUAAGAAUGUGGGUCCAAGGCAGCAAGCAAUUGAAUGCGAUUGUUGCCAAAAAUGGCAACACCGAACAUGCGAAACCGUUUCUUUGUUUUCUGAAUUGAGCGUGGUGGAGAUCAAGAAGGCGUCCGCGGCUCCGAGAGAGUGUGUGUCUACCGUGGUCUGCUACCAAAUGUCAAUUGACAUAAAGUAAAAGAUUGUUGAAAAUGUAUGUCGCAAAAUAUGAAAUGUGUAUCUACCGAAA
This is a long non-coding RNA of Dreissena polymorpha, 370 nucleotides long. RefSeq lists it as uncharacterized. NCBI's taxonomy places the organism in Eukaryota, Metazoa, Mollusca, Bivalvia, Myida, Dreissenidae. The transcript is spliced from 3 exons. The record is from RefSeq and is a predicted model, not a curated record.